This is a long non-coding RNA of Topomyia yanbarensis, 1157 nucleotides long. RefSeq lists it as uncharacterized. Lineage: Eukaryota; Metazoa; Arthropoda; Insecta; Diptera; Culicidae. The record is from RefSeq and is a predicted model, not a curated record. The transcript is spliced from 3 exons.
ACGCAGUUUACGUGGAUUUCCUAUACGAAAAAAUGAAUUACAAAAUUGCUGAUAUUUGGUUGUUGAUAUCCCACAUUCUUUGGUGGAAGUUUUCCAUUAACCUUUUCACCAAUUUCAACAAUCUCACCACCGCAAAGAAAACACAGAGCUUCAACAAUAAACAGAAUAUGUUUCGUGUAUGUUUCCCCCUCAAAGUGUAUUUUGUCUACUGGUUUAUGGGUCGUUUUCAAAACUACACGUUAUUUCGUGGCAUUUUUUGACGAAACAACUAUAACAUACAAAUAGGAAGGAAACUAAAGCAGAUACAAUGGACGUUCUUAGUCAAACUUCUGCAUCAAACCAUGUGGUAUCGAUCGCACUACCCGUCGUGGUUUUUGGCCUUCUCAACCAGAACUCAAAUGCUGGGGGAAAAGAUGAUACGGCCAAUGAACGAUUGUCAUUACCAAACUGAACUGCAAGCGAAAAAUGUCUUCAGGCAGGUACAGUGAAAUAAUUAUUGUAUUUUCAAUUAGGUUACUUCAAAUAAAUAUAUUUCAAUAAAUGGAAACAAUUGAAUUAUAUGCUGUUCAAAAUUAAUUGAAAACACCUGAAUUAAACUGGCAAUAAUUACUAGUAAUACACAUACAUUGUGCGUUAGGUUUCAUGUAGUCGCUAUGUUUGGCUUCAUGUAAAUAUUACGUUUGAGUUUGUAGUUGUUACGUUUGGCUUCAUGUUAUUUUUGCGUGAAAUUCAUUUGAAAAUUAUGCGACAAUCACAUAACGUUUACAUGAUGCAUCAGAUAUUGAAGCUGAUUCAAAUAUACCGGACCACCCGAUAGAAUUUAUGUGAAAAGUGCGGUGGAUGAGAUCUAUAUAAGUUUUCAUGUAAUAGCUACGUGAUUUAUUUUUUGAGUGUAUGCAUGGUACAUAUUUUUUUCCUGAUACAUGUAAGUAAGAAAAGCAAAUCAAAAGCAUUACAAUUCUUUUACUAAAUGUAAAAUUUCUAUUUCCACAGACUUACAACGGUCACAACAUACAGGCCAGUUGGGGUGCUAGUGCUACAAUUGUACUGACGUAAAGGAUGAUCUCUGCAACAACCCUGAAAUGUUGAAAGUUGUAUGGCAACUGAUUCUGUAAGUUUUAGAACGGUUUUAUUAUAAAUAAAAAUUAAACCCUUGC